Molecule: ribosomal RNA, 253 nt
Filed under: uncultured bacterium
Lineage: Bacteria
Description: partial 16S ribosomal RNA
Rfam family: Bacterial small subunit ribosomal RNA
Source: RNAcentral
UACGUAGGGGGCAAGCGUUGUCCGGAAUCACUGGGCGUAAAGCGCACGUAGGCGGUUUGUCAAGUUGGGGGUGUAAGCUCUAGGCUUAACCUAGAAAUUGCCUCCAAAACUAGCAUACUUGAGUAUUAGAGGGGAAGCUGGAAUUCACGGUGUAGCGGUGAAAUGCGUAGAUAUCGUGGAGAACACCCGUGGCGAAGGCGGGCUUCUGGCUAAUUACUGACGCUGAGGUGCGAAAGCCAGGGGAGCGAACGGG